This 66-nucleotide transfer RNA is filed under the name Gorpis humeralis. RNAcentral's name for it is "tRNA-Leu". The record is from RNAcentral. Lineage: Eukaryota; Metazoa; Arthropoda; Insecta; Hemiptera; Nabidae.
UCUAAUAUGGCAGAAAUUAUGCAAUGAAUUUAAGAUUCAGUUAUAAAGAGCCAUCUUUUAUUAGAA